This 426-nucleotide ribosomal RNA is filed under the name uncultured prokaryote. RNAcentral describes it as "bacterial SSU rRNA". It matches the Rfam family "Bacterial small subunit ribosomal RNA", at positions 355 to 775 of the family's 1533-position model. The record is from RNAcentral.
UGGGGAAUCAUGGUCAAUGGGCGAAAGCCUGAACCUGCGACGCCGCGUGAGUGAUGAAGGUCGUAAGAUCGUAAAACUCUUUUCAGGGAUCUUAAAGCCUGUCUGUCAACAACAGGCAGGUCUGCCUCUCCCUGGAAGAAGCCCCAGCCAACUACGUGCCAGCAGCUGCGGUAAUACGUAGGGGGCGAGCGUUAUUCGGAAUUACUGGGUGUAAAGGGUAUGUAGGCGGCCCUUCAAGUCGCGUGUCAAAGUCCAGUGCUCAACGCUGGGUGUGCACGCGAUACUGACGGGCUUGAGGGCUGGAGAGGUGAGCGGAAUUCCCGGUGUAGUGGUAAAAUACGUAGAGAUCGGGAGGAACACCAGCGGCGCAGGCGGCUCACUAGACAGUUUCUGACGCUAGGAUAUGAGAGCGUGGGGAGCAGAAUA